Molecule: transfer RNA, 72 nt
Filed under: Ictidomys tridecemlineatus (thirteen-lined ground squirrel)
Lineage: Eukaryota; Metazoa; Chordata; Mammalia; Rodentia; Sciuridae
Description: Spermophilus tridecemlineatus (thirteen-lined ground squirrel) tRNA
Rfam family: tRNA
About the family: Transfer RNA (tRNA) molecules are approximately 80 nucleotides in length. Their secondary structure includes four short double-helical elements and three loops (D, anti-codon, and T loops). Further hydrogen bonds mediate the characteristic L-shaped molecular structure. tRNAs have two regions of fundamental functional importance: the anti-codon, which is responsible for specific mRNA codon recognition, and the 3' end, to which the tRNAs corresponding amino acid is attached (by aminoacyl-tRNA synthetases). tRNAs cope with the degeneracy of the genetic code in two manners: having more than one tRNA (with a specific anti-codon) for a particular amino acid; and 'wobble' base-pairing, i.e. permitting non-standard base-pairing at the 3rd anti-codon position.
Source: Rfam by way of RNAcentral
GUAGGUGUAGCUCAGUGGUAGAGUGCUUGCCUGGCAUGCAUGAGACCCUGGGUUCCAUUCCCCAGCACUGCA